GCGCCCGUAGCUCAAAGGACAGAGCAGCGGAUUUCUAAUCCGCCGGUUGGGGGUUCGAGUCCCUCCGGGCGUG
RNAcentral lists this transfer RNA (73 nucleotides) under Planctomycetota bacterium. RNAcentral describes it as "Planctomycetes bacterium (sediment metagenome) tRNA-Arg". It matches the Rfam family "tRNA". Rfam says of the family: Transfer RNA (tRNA) molecules are approximately 80 nucleotides in length. Their secondary structure includes four short double-helical elements and three loops (D, anti-codon, and T loops). The record is from RNAcentral. Lineage: Bacteria; Pseudomonadati; Planctomycetota.